RNAcentral lists this non-coding RNA (78 nucleotides) under Chelonia mydas (Green sea turtle). Lineage: Eukaryota; Metazoa; Chordata; Testudines; Cheloniidae. The record is from RNAcentral.
UUAAGACAUUGCCUACAGCUGACAAGCUCCACAAAGAGCAAAACCAGUGAGGAUCCUGUAACACUGUCCUACAGAGCU